UGUUGACGUAUUCUGAAAGGGAUACUUCUUCGGACAAUAUACAAGGUGCUGCAUGGUUGUCGUCAGCUCGUGCCGUGAGGUGUCGGGUUAAGUCCCAUAACGAGCGCAACCCCUAUCAUUUAGUUGCCAUCAGGUCAAGCUGGGGACUCUAAUGAAACUGCCUACGCAAGUAGUGAGGAAGGUGGGGAUGACGUCAAAUCAGCACGGCCCUUACGUCCAGGGCUACACACGUGCUACAAUGGCCGGUACAGAGCGCAGCGAAGCCGCGAGGCAAAGCGAAUCGCAAAAAGCCGGUCUCAGUACGGAUUGGAGUCUGAAACUCGACUCCAUGAAGUUGGAAUCGCUAGUAAUCGCGCAUCAGCAUGGCGCGGUGAAUACGUUCCCGGGCCUU
This 391-nucleotide ribosomal RNA is filed under the name uncultured Sphingobacteriales bacterium. RNAcentral describes it as "bacterial SSU rRNA". It matches the Rfam family "Bacterial small subunit ribosomal RNA", at positions 989 to 1382 of the family's 1533-position model. The record is from RNAcentral. Lineage: Bacteria; Pseudomonadati; Bacteroidota; Sphingobacteriia; Sphingobacteriales.